AAAUUGAAGAGUUUGAUCAUGGCUCAGAUUGAACGCUGGCGGCAGGCCUAACACAUGCAAGUCGAACGGUAACAGGAAGCAGCUUGCUGCUUUGCUGACGAGUGGCGGACGGGUGAGUAAUGUCUGGGAAACUGCCUGAUGGAGGGGGAUAACUACUGGAAACGGUGGCUAAUACCGCAUAACGUCGCAAGACCAAAGAGGGGGACCUUCGGGCCUCUUGCCAUCAGAUGUGCCCAGAUGGGAUUAGCUUGUUGGUGAGGUAACGGCUCACCAAGGCGACGAUCCCUAGCUGGUCUGAGAGGAUGACCAGCCACACUGGAACUGAGACACGGUCCAGACUCCUACGGGAGGCAGCAGUGGGGAAUAUUGCACAAUGGGCGCAAGCCUGAUGCAGCCAUGCCGCGUGUAUGAAGAAGGCCUUCGGGUUGUAAAGUACUUUCAGCGGGGAGGAAGGUGUUGUGGUUAAUAACCACAGCAAUUGACGUUACCCGCAGAAGAAGCACCGGCUAACUCCGUGCCAGCAGCCGCGGUAAUACGGAGGGUGCAAGCGUUAAUCGGAAUUACUGGGCGUAAAGCGCACGCAGGCGGUCUGUCAAGUCGGAUGUGAAAUCCCCGGGCUCAACCUGGGAACUGCAUUCGAAACUGGCAGGCUUGAGUCUUGUAGAGGGGGGUAGAAUUCCAGGUGUAGCGGUGAAAUGCGUAGAGAUCUGGAGGAAUACCGGUGGCGAAGGCGGCCCCCUGGACAAAGACUGACGCUCAGGUGCGAAAGCGUGGGGAGCAAACAGGAUUAGAUACCCUGGUAGUCCACGCCGUAAACGAUGUCUACUUGGAGGUUGUGCCCUUGAGGCGUGGCUUCCGGAGCUAACGCGUUAAGUAGACCGCCUGGGGAGUACGGCCGCAAGGUUAAAACUCAAAUGAAUUGACGGGGGCCCGCACAAGCGGUGGAGCAUGUGGUUUAAUUCGAUGCAACGCGAAGAACCUUACCUGGUCUUGACAUCCACAGAACUUUCCAGAGAUGGAUUGGUGCCUUCGGGAACUGUGAGACAGGUGCUGCAUGGCUGUCGUCAGCUCGUGUUGUGAAAUGUUGGGUUAAGUCCCGCAACGAGCGCAACCCUUAUCCUUUGUUGCCAGCGGUCCGGCCGGGAACUCAAAGGAGACUGCCAGUGAUAAACUGGAGGAAGGUGGGGAUGACGUCAAGUCAUCAUGGCCCUUACGACCAGGGCUACACACGUGCUACAAUGGCGCAUACAAAGAGAAGCGACCUCGCGAGAGCAAGCGGACCUCAUAAAGUGCGUCGUAGUCCGGAUUGGAGUCUGCAACUCGACUCCAUGAAGUCGGAAUCGCUAGUAAUCGUGGAUCAGAAUGCCACGGUGAAUACGUUCCCGGGCCUUGUACACACCGCCCGUCACACCAUGGGAGUGGGUUGCAAAAGAAGUAGGUAGCUUAACCUUCGGGAGGGCGCUUACCACUUUGUGAUUCAUGACUGGGGUGAAGUCGUAACAAGGUAACCGUAGGGGAACCUGCGGUUGGAUCACCUCCUUACCUUAAAGAAGC
This 1554-nucleotide ribosomal RNA is filed under the name Salmonella enterica subsp. enterica serovar Rubislaw. RNAcentral's name for it is "bacterial SSU rRNA". It matches the Rfam family "Bacterial small subunit ribosomal RNA". RNAcentral also lists the same sequence under 2 other names. Lineage: Bacteria; Pseudomonadati; Pseudomonadota; Gammaproteobacteria; Enterobacterales; Enterobacteriaceae. The record is from RNAcentral.